CAGUCUAUCUUACACUGACAGAUACCGACAGAUCUCUGAUAACACAAUAGAGAGUUGGACCACUGCAACAUGCUGUGCACUGGAACCACCAGAGAGAACAUAAAAUAAACUUGUGUUGGAUGUUGAUGUACCAGCCAACUUAAGAUGAAAAGGCAAAGGGAAAGAAGUGUUAAGAGAAAAGGGAAAAAAAGAGAAAAGCAGGAGAACAUGCAGGGUGUAAAACUGAAAUGAUGUAAUCGCUGCAUUAUGCACGCUUGAGCUAAAAUGCACAAUGUUGAUGUCCCAUGCACAGCUGUUUGUUGCACUCAGUUGCACAACAGCAGUAAGGGGGGUUUGGUAUCAAGAGUUUAUUGCACUUAGGUUACACACGAAAAAUACCAGUACUGCACACACAGGUGUCUAAAUGCCACAACAGAAAAAGACUAUAGCCAACAAACAAUAAUGAUUAAAAACCAAUAUGUACAAUACAUGUAUGAAUGAAUAUGAAAUUACUUAAAAAAAAAAAAAAAACAUGAUCCAGUCCAGUAUCACAAAGAGCCAAUUGUAGUAUUUCCGUUUCCAGAAGUUUCUUGAAUGCAGCACCUGCAAACUAUCGCUGUUCAAGCGGCUGCGCAUACAGAAGUGUUUUUGUUUUUUUCCCCCAAAACCUCCCCAUGGCUACUGCGGAGCACACAGCUAGACAGGUGUAUGACAAACACUCAGUUUGAUGUGGAGAAACGUAAAAUACUUUAUGUAAGAUUUAAAAGAUUUUUAGUUGGAAUUGACUGAAGCUGGCAGGAUUGCCAGAGGGAGAAAAGUAGUUCUGAGAGAGAAGUUACCUGCAGGAUAAUCCCCGUCGGGGAUUGUCUCCAAUUAACUUUGAUUAUCGGGACGGUUCUUUCUGUUGAGGACGGCAAGAUCAUCAUCACUGCUUGUGGAUGCCCUUGUCUCACCUGGAUGUUGAUGUGUGGAUGCUGUGCCAUUCUGACGAUAGCAAGUACUUCAUAGUCCGUCACUCCAGAAGUAAACUGGUGAACCCCUUUCACUGGACACACAGUAGAAGAGAUUGAUCAGAUAAGCUCACCUGGACAUGGGGAGGGGAUACCAUGCCAUGCUCAGGCCCUCAUCACCCACCCUUCUGAAAAAGAACUGUGUGAAGCGCCUGGGUUCAGAUAUAUGAAGCAAAAAAAAAAAUAGAGGCAUUCCACAACAUAGAGCCUCAUCACCAUGACAGAGCACCCCUGACACAGAGUCAACAGUGGUGAUGGAGUCAGCCACAUGCAACAAGUGACGUAGCAUACAAUAAUUGUUCAUCCUCCUUUCCUGAAUACAACAAAAAGACCCACUUGAUCACCCUACUGAUGCUGAUCAGUGAAAGACAUAAAAGACCCUGAAGUAAGUGGCAUUACCUAGACUGAUGGCCAGAUGUGCAAAGGAACCCUUUGUGCCAUUGCAACUGACAGUCUUCCAGUAUCAGGGGCACUGUUGAGAGUUUUGGCAAAACUUUGAAUUUCUUUAGGUAUUGCUAGAUUGAUUGAAAUACAUUUUUGUCAGAUCCUCUUGCCAAAUGUCUUAGUAGCACAGCAGAAUCAUAUCAAAAACAUAUUCAGAUUCAGACACAGUGAUGAGUUAGAGGUGUUAAAUUUGACUCAAUCUUCAGUGAGCUUGAUCAUUUUUAUAUUUGCCAGUGUGAAUUACCUCAGUAUUUUGGCAAUGAGGGCAAGAUAGGGCAUUGUUUCCUCUGAGUUGGCCUCGUGUAUUUAUCACCAUUAAUCAAACAGAAGCACUUUUUUUGUAAUGACGGCAACAACUCUUGCAAGGUAGAUUCGUUUUCUCAGGAUAUUACUAGUGUAGUAAGAAAAAAACAGGUGACAGUGAAGUAUGGCAGCUAAUUUUACAGCUCAGAGAGAUUAUUGCUCUUGUUUGUACUAUGAAAAUUUCCACUGGUCAGAUUUCAUACUUGUUCUGAUAGAUGAGCAUUUGCAAAUCAGAAAUCAAACUUUUGAGGAUCAUCCACUAAAGCCCAAACAUCACUAUCUAUGUGACCAUUCAGAACUCAUUGUUCAUUUUGGGACAUAGCUCCCCCUUGAACAUUACGAUUUGAAAGCAAGCACAGUUAUUGGGUAAGGAAGUUGCAUAAUUUUGGAAAUCUUUGUCAAAUUCUUGCUGAAAGGCAUCAGUUUUUGCAGGCUUUUCUAAGUGCUGCCACUCUCUUUCCACCAGAAUCUGUGGUAGAGAGGGACACAGAGUUUUUCUCGGAUGAUUACAAUGAGGAGACAGUCCAUGAUGUGACAGUUAAAGAAACAACAUACUGGAGCAACAUGUUUGUUGUAAUAGGUCAAAAUGAUGAUGGCUCAGCAGUAGGAAAUUCUUAAAAAGUGGUUGUUCAUGAAGACUCAGCAUUUUACUUUAUCACUGAGAAACACCACGUUGCUCAUCUUCCCUACACUGAUGCUUAUCAUACCACUGUCAUGCCGAAAUCUUGCCUCCUAAACCAAGAGCAACUGCUUGAUUUUUACCCACUGCCUGAAUUUAUGGUUUGGGCUAUGUCACUGCUAAUAUUUCACCAUUCUGUCCCUACUUUUUAGAUCAAUGUCAUCCUUAGGUGAAGCUAUAAAGGAGAUCAUCCUUAAGGCUCUGUCCAGUCUCUCAACAAAGGCUUGCUUCUGAACUUGAAAGCUCUGGGGUAGAGUCUGUAGAAACCUACCAAAAGCACAUCUGAGACCUGCUGCCUUUUAUUCAGUAACAAAAACUGCAGGACACCUUAUAAUAUAGUGUAAUUUAUAAUAAUGUUUUAGACAUAUAUACAAUACUUUAUCUGUUAUGUCUUGUUAAUUAUAAGGUAAGUUGCCAGCUAAAAUAGAUUCAACCUAGCUAAAAUAGGAUUUAGCCAGCUAAAUUGAGCUAAUAACUGAUAACUGGUGUUUUUAUUUAUUAUUAGAGAUUAAAAGAUGUUUUACUCAGGAUCAAUCACAUAAGCCAUCAAGUGUAACCAUAAAGAGAUAACUUAAAUUAAUAUUUUCUUUGUUUCAGAAACUAUCACAACCACACUGUAUCUCCAGGUUUUGCCAACUGACUCAAAAUAUCUGUCCCCUCUCUCCAAUUUCUCACUUGUUUCCACGUCCUCAAUGUCCAGCAUUUGAUCCCUUUCAAGCCCUUCCCCACAGCAAUCACUGCAUGAUCUAAGCAGUGCUGGUCCAUCAAGCAUACCCAAGAGAUGGCUUGAAACAUUUCAAGUCCUGUGGGAUAAGAUGCCAAAGGAAAUCCAGACAGCCAUUUCAAAUGGCAGGAGACCCACUCCUGACAAGAGGCAGAUCAGCCAUUGCAAGAAAAAAAACCUGGAAAACACAUAUUUCCAUUUUGGAUGCCAGGAACAAUAAAACCUUGAUAAAGUGUUAGACUUACAUGGCUGAUGACAUAACAGCAAACUGAAAGCUGCAUUUAGAUUGAUGACGUAAUGGAUCCAAUAAAAAUGUGUUCAAGGAAAAUGUAGCCAGGUGCAGCUUUGUUUGUCACUUUGUUUAUGCAAACUUAUGGGAAUGUAAUUUAUUUAACCUAUUUGUUAAUUAUCUUUCAGACAUUAAGGUACUGACAAAGGAAUGUCACUUAAAAAAGCGAUAUUCUACUAAAAUUUUAUUUGCAUUGAAAAGAUUUAUUUGUUUGCACUGAAAUGUCAUUCUAGUGUUACUUCUUUUACAAUCUGUGUAAUUGUGUAUGUUAAAUUAGUUUUUGCCUUUCCUAAUCUUGGGCUUGUUUGUUUUUGCCACUUCAUUGGGAUUAACCCUGAGAGGGAAAUUAAGGCCAGCCGUGGAAAGAUGGUGUCCAAGAAGACAGUCGAGCUUGUGCAAAAGAAGAUGCGGACAGUAUAUCUGCAAGUGGCAUUUCAUAAAGGAUUCUGCCUCCACAACCUCGCCCAUUAAUUAGAGAGUCUGUCCUUCAGCCAGAUGACCUCAGCUCAAGCCCUGUUUUUGAUGAACAUUCACCCCACUCUGGAGUAUCCUUAACUCCAGCUGAACCUUUCAGCUGACACUGAUCUCACUACAGAGAAGAUUUAGAUGCAUAUACUGCGGGAAAUUCCUUUGAUGUACAUCUGACGAUAUGCCAGUGCUCAAUUCCCACAGUGGCGACUAAAAAAUGAUAGUAAACUGUGAUACUGUGACAACAGUGUGAAAAUCCGACAACAUCAUGGAGCAAGUACUCGAACACGGGGCAUAUGGCUUGGCUAUGUGUACACAGUUCCCCGUGAUUUUCUGUCACAUUUGCUUCCACUCAACCAUUGGAAGAGAUGAUGGAGAGAGCAGGAGGAAAUGACAAUCAUUUUAAACGAGCAGCUUUAAAAUGGCUGUCCUGAGCCGAGUCUUCAGCUUUGUGUUCAUUACAAAACAAUGGUGUCGGGGGGGAAUGCAGAGUUGAUUACAGCUAUUAGGUGACAUAGUGUGGCACAGCAGGGCGCUGGGUUGUGAACCUGAGUGCGUUUUUUUUUUUUUUUUUUUCUCCUGUAGUGACAGUUUUUGACUGUCAGGGAAAUGCUCAAUCAACUUGAAAGCUGGGGUGUGUUUAUGAAAUGAGUUCAUGGAAUGAUGAAAGAGUUUCACUGGGCUAUGACAUUAAUGCACAAACAUCCACUGUGAAAUUCAAUGACAGUGAUUGUAUGCAUGCAAGACAGUGAUUAAUAUGUUUAUUUUGAGGUUAUCAGAGCAGAAAUUCAUAUGCUGAGUUCAUAUGUUGGAUGCGAUGGAAUAUGCACUUGUAUUCAUAUUAGAUGUUUAUAUUGUUCUAUUACCAUUGAAGUUUCCCAUCUUUCCUAACAGACGUCACAGUCUGGUGUUUAUUUCCUUAAAGAUCAGUGUCUUUAUUAUUGAAUAACAAUUUCUAUGGUUGAUUUCAAGCAAAUUCUGUGAAGCAAUUCACUGUAAAUUGGAAGCUGGAAAUAUCUUUCAGUUUAUCUUCAAAUGUUUUUCUGUGGCUUUAAAGCUUUCAGUAUGAUGUUGUUUGUUUAAAGGUAAUUUGAAUUUCUGUCCGUAACUAUAUGCUCAAAAAUACCCCUCAUUUUCUAGAGAGACUGGCAUUUCAUUUUUGUUAAGAGCCUUUGCAGUCAUAGACCAUUUCCUGUACUUGAUGAUGUUGGUCAGCAGUCUGUUGAAAUGUGUAUCACAGUGGCAGGAAGCAUUAACAGCACGUAAUUCUAAGCCUAUUUAAAAAUUUAGUGAGAGGACAACACUGUUUUUAGUCAUAAUUGAUUCAGCUUGUAAUACACUAACUGUAACUUGUUUUUUUUGUUUUUUUAACACAGAUUAGAAAACUCCACUAAUCAUAUCAUGAAUAAAUUAACUGUGGUA
This is a long non-coding RNA of Seriola aureovittata, 5318 nucleotides long. RefSeq lists it as uncharacterized. Lineage: Eukaryota; Metazoa; Chordata; Actinopteri; Carangiformes; Carangidae. The transcript is spliced from 8 exons. The record is from RefSeq and is a predicted model, not a curated record.